UUCUCCUGAAUAGUAGUGGGAGCAAUGUGAUGCCCGGGUAUUUAAGCUACAGUGAGCCUCUGCUAAUGAUGCCACGUCACCUCAUUUACUGUUGCUAAUCUCGCGACGGUUCGAAACUUUUUAAAUUAAAAAUUUAAAUAUUGUCAAACAUCAAAAAAUUUCAAACAUCAAAACAAAAAUGUUCGGUUAGUGCCAAAUAUUACAUAGGUAAUUAUAAUAAAGAAAACACAAAUUUAUAAAAUACUUAUGUGCCCUAAGUUGAAUUAAAACAAUAAAAGUAAAUAAAUAAAAGAAAAGAAAAAAAACAACAAAAGAGAGAAAGAGAAGCCCCCCCCUCCUGGACCGCGGCCCAGCUGGCCACCAGGCCGGCCAGGCCGGCCCACCACGGUCCCCCCCCAUAACCCCCUGGGCGACCGAACCCUAGCCCGACACCCUCCACUUCCCCCAUGAUCCCCUUCUCCUCUCCCCCACCGAUCUGGAUCGGGAUCGGCCUCGAUCCCGUCGACCCCGACCACCUCGCCUNNNNNNNNNNNNNNNNNNNNNNNNNNNNNNNNNNNNNNNNNNNNNNNNNNNNNNNNNNNNNNNNNNNNNNNNNNNNNNNNNNNNNNNNNNNNNNNNNNNNNNNNNNNNNNNNNNNNNNNNNNNNNNNNNNNNNNNNNNNNNNNNNNNNNNNNNNNNNNNNNNNNNNNNNNNNNNNNNNNNNNNNNNNNNNNNNNNNNNNNNNNNNNNNNNNNNNNNNNNNNNNNNNNNNNNNNNNNNNNNNNNNNNNNNCCGGCCGCGCCCCUUAUCGCCACCACCGAGCCACGGCCCCGGCGAGCACGCCCACGCCCGAGGGCCGCCGUCGCCGCCACGCCGGGUUGCGCACUGCCGCACCCCCCGCCUCCCUCUUGCCCCGUCCCUGGCCACGCCCCCUGCGCCCCGUAGCCCCGUUCCCGCAACCUCCCGAACGCCACCACCGCCUCCACUCGCCGCCGGCGAAGAUUCCGGCCAUUACGGCCCGCGCCACCAUCACGGUUGGAUGCGGCCCAGCCCCACCCUUCGAACGCGCCCGAACAGGGCUCGAAUGGCGCGCCAUAGCGCGAUUCCGGCCAUCUCCGGCGUUCGGCCGCCGCGGAUGGCCUCGCCGGCGUUGCUCCGGCGCCGGCGCUAACCUGGCACCGACGUGGCCCGCCUCUGGGUCGCUGCCCGUGGCCCCCCUGGACUCGGUUGACCACGUUGACCGUGGUCAACAAUGCUGACUGGGCACUCAGUGCCACUGACCACAGGGUCCCACCCCAGAACGUUAAAAAAUAAAUAGAUAAUAAUUAAAAUAUUAAUUAAUUAAUUAAGUAAAUAAUUAAUUUAAUUAAUCCUGAUUAAUUAACCUAAUGGCUAUUUAACCUAAUUAACUACUGUUAAUUAACUAACAGAGUAUGACGAACGGGACCCACAUGUCAGGUUGACCAAGUCAACCCUGAUGACUGCUGACGUCAGCAUGACAUCAUGCUGAUGUCAUAAAUCCAUUUUUUUGAAUUAAUUAAUUAAUUAGUUAAAUUCCAGAAAUUAAUAAAAUCUUUAGAAAAUCAUAUCUUUUAAUCCGUAACUCGGAUUAAAAUAUUUUCAACAUGAAAGUUGCUCAGAACGACGUGACGAAUCCGGAUACGCAGUCCGUUCGUCCGCCACACACCCCUAACCUAUCGAACUCGCAACUUUCCCCCUCCGGCUCCUCUGCCCGAAAACACGAAACACCGGGAAUACUUUCCCGGAUGAUUCCCCCCUUAACCAGUACCACCUCAUACCACGUUAGGGCACACCUAGCAUCGUUACUUGUCAUGUCAUGCAUCGAUAUGCAUUUGUUUGCAUUGUAUUCAUUGUUUCUUCCCCCCUCUUCUCUCCGGUAGACUACAAGACCGACGCUGCUGCUGCCCAGUUCGACUACGGUGUUGACGACCCCUCUCUCUUGCCAGAGCAACCAGGCAAGCCCCCCCCCCCUUUGAUCACCAGAUAUCGCCUACUCUUCUCUAUACUGCUUGCAUUAGAGUAGUGUAGCCUGUUACUGCUUUCCGUUGAUCCUAUUCUGAUGCAUAGCCUGACAUUGUUGCUACAUCUGUUGAUACCUUACCCGCAAUCCUAAAUGCUUAGUAUAGGAUGCUAGUUUAUCAUCAUUGGCCCUACAUUCUUGUCAGUCUGCCUUGCUAUACUUUUGGGCCGUGAUCACUCGGGAGGUGAUCACGGGUAUAUACUAUACAUACAUACAUACUAUACCGAUGGUGACUAAAGUCGGGUCAGCUCGAAGAGUACCCACGAGUGAUUCAUGGAUUGGGGGCUGAAAGGACCUUUGUCCCGACGGCCCUCUGUGUGGAUCUUUGUGGCAGAGCGACAGGGCAGGUUGAGACCGCCUAGGAGAGAGGUGGGCCUGGCCCUGUUCGGUGUUCGCGGAUACUUAACACGCUUAACGAGAUCUUGGUAUUUGAUCUGAGUUGGCUACGAGCUUAUACGCACUAACCAUCUACGCGGGAGUAGUUAUGGGUAUCCCGACGUCGUGGUAUCAGCCGAAGCACUUCAGACGUCAGCGGCGGAGCGGCGCGCGUCAAAUUGGACUGGAACGCCACUAGGCUAGGUCUGCUUUCGGUCGCCCUCGCAACAUGCAGGUGUGCUAUGGGCGAUGGGCCCAGACCCCUGUGCGCUUAGGUUUAGACCGGCGUGCUGGCCUCUCUGUUGUGCCUAGGUGGGGCUGCGACGUGUUGAUCUUCCGCGGCCGGGCAUGACCCAGGAAAGUGUGUCCGACCAAAUGGGAUCAAGCGUGCUGGGUAAGUUGGUGCACCCCUGCAGGGAAGUUAAUCUAUUCGAAUAGCCGUGAUCUUCGGUAACAGGAUGACUUGGAGUUGUACCUUGACCUUAUGACAACUAGAACCGGAUACUUAAUAAAACACACCCUUCCAAGUGCCAGAUACAACCGGUGGUCGCUCUCCCUCAGGGAUACGAGGGGAGGAUCGCCGGGUAGGAUAUGCUAUGCGAUGCUACUUGGAGGACUUCGACCUACCCUCUUCCGCCUGUUGCAAGACGAAGGUGACCAGAAGCGUAGUCUUCGAUAAGACUAGCUAUCCCCCCUUAUUCUGGCAUUCUGCAGUUCAGUCCACUGAUAUGGCCCUUUACACAUAUACCCAUGCAUAUGUAGUGUAGUUCCUUGCUUGCGAGUACUUUGGAUGAGUACUCACGGUUGCUUUCUCCCCCCUUUUCCCCCGUUUCCUUUCUUUCUGGUUGUCGCAACCAGAUGCUGGAGUCCAGGAGCCAGACGCCACCGUCGAUGACGACUAUUACACUGGAGGUGCCUACUACUACGUGCAGCCUGCUGACGACGACCAAGAGUAGUUAGGAGGAUCCCAGGCAGGAGGCCUACGCUUCUUUCGAUCUGUAUCCCAGUUUGUGCUAGCCUUCUUAAGGCAAACUUGUUUAACUUAUGUCUGUACUCAGAUAUUGUUGCUUCCGCUGACUCGUCUAUGAUCGAGCACUUGUAUUCGAGCCCUCGAGGCCCCUGGCUUGUAUUAUGAUGCUUGUAUGACUUAUUUAUGUUUUAGAGUUGUGUUGUGAUAUCUUCCCGUGAGUCCCUGAUCUUAAUCGUACACAUUUGCGUGCAUGAUUAGCGUACGAUUGAAUCGGGGGCGUCACAAGUUGGUAUCAGAGCCGACUGCCUGUAGGAAUCCCCCUUUCCAACUCCUUGGCCGAAGUCGAGUCUAGUCGUUGAAAAACUUUUACUAACAUGGCUGUGUGGCCCAUGGGCCCACGUCGCCAUCGGGAGGUAUUAGGAUCUUUUAUUCCUCGACCUUUACUCUGGGAUUUUGAACCCUCUUCUAUUCGGGUUAAACGAUUUUUACUAAAAAGUAACUUUAGGUUCUCGAAAAUACUUUCUCCCGGAGAGCCCCUUCAGUCCAGAUGGUCACCGACUGCACCAGAAGAUUUCGGAGAUACUCUUUGAUAUUCUCUCGAGACUUUGUGCCCAUCACUUUUGCUAUUCCCGACCACCGAUAAAUCCUUAUGGAUAACUACUUGCACUUGCCAUUCUUACGAUCAUUCCCCAUUGUUCUUGUUAUUACAAGAUACCCGAAGUUUUCUCUAUUGUUCCGAGAAUACUUCGUGCCUACUGCCUAGCAGUUCUUUGCCACAUGAAUACCCCUUCAAAUAAAUCCUCGCACUUGUCGAGUAUCCGCUCAUCCCCAGUUGUUCAUGUGUUUCACAAAAGUCUUCAAAAUACUAUUCGAUCUUCCGAAAAUCCUCUAGAGCCUUUGGCUCUUGAAAUUCGUGCCUGCUUGCAUUAUGGUUAAUCCCAUAAGUCUCGUAGUCUUAUUGACAUUCCUUGUCAUUAUCAUUUUGAGUCUGUUGACUCAAUAUGUUUGCGAAUACACGCAAUCAUUAUUGAUCCUUAUAAAUUACCUUUUCGGCUGAGCUUCCAUUCUUUUAACUGGAAUUGGUUCUCGAUCAAUCCAAUUGUCGUUGAUUGUACCCUAAGGCUAUUCAACUUGUCCAUCCCUAAACAGAUCAUUGCUUCUGAUCCCUUGAUUUGGAAAUCAUAAUUCCUUUGCAUUUGACAAUUGAGUUAGUCAGUUGUUUCUAUAAUCUGAUCUCCUUGCAUUCUUCUUCCUCUAGUUGAGUACCGAUACUCGUAUUAGAUCCUUUGUGGACCAUCAAGUCCUUUGUUGGAUUGUUAUCCGACAAUGUCCUUCACAUUUGAUCACUUUGUGAGUUCUUCCCCUGAUACAUAAUGCCUUUGUUAAGUUGUAUCCUCUGCUUGGCCAACCAUGCUCUGCCUUCGAGCUUGAGUUAAUUAUUUCUAAAGAUUCUGGUAUAUGAUUCCAAGAAGCCCCUAUGGGUUGAACAUAUGCCUUCACUAAACCGUGUGAACCCGAAAGUUUUCACGAAUCAUACUCUUCUGGUGCUUCGCCAGAUAAAAUUUCAACACUGCAACUUCAUCGAACGUGAGAAGUGAAUGAAAGGUUAUGCAUUGGAGAAGUGGGAGUCGACCUUGAACUUGUGUUCAUGCCCAUGGACACGAUGUAGAUCUUAUCAUUAAAGCUUCUCUUAAAUUAAUUAUUCCUUUGGUAUAAGUUCAUCUUAUAUCAGGGAUCUGGCCUUUUGCAAUCGUGGUUUCGACCAUGUUCUCUUUUAAAUACCAUUUCUCGUGCAAGUUUUAACACUUGUCUUCUGUAGAGCAAUACCCCCGUCCAACCUCUACUUUGAUAUGUCAUCGAGUAUUACCCCCCCUGGUAUCUCGAGAUUAUCUUGGAACUGCAUAACUUCUUAUGAGUUCUUCAUCAAGUGCUACCUUCCCACUGAUCCCAAUUUUUCACGGGCUCUGAGUUAUAGAACACUCAAAGACACCGAUAACUGAACCGAGUCCGCUCUACGAUUCAAAAACUCUUCAGUAAGCUUCUAUAAGUACGAGUUUGUUACCCGAUCACGCCAUUCCUAGCAUGUUUGGCUAUAUCAUUGUCGUGACGAUUCUAAUGGUGCUACCUGGUCCUUAUUCUUGGAGCACCAAUUUUCGACGAUGAACUAACCUUACGUCGAAUUUCCUCGUCAUACCCUUUCACCUUAAAUAACAAGCUUGAGUUCGAGUUUGUGUCGUAACUAUGGUUUCAAUAACCUUUUGCUUCACCAUUCAUUUGACUUAAUGUCAUCGCCGAUCGAUUACAUCUUGGAAUCUCUCGACAAAGUGUGUCGAGAUCAUCAUCAAUCUUAUGAGCCCUUCCAGGACAUCAAAUGAGUUCAUGAUAAGAAAUACCAUCCUUGCCCUUGAUGAUCUGCGUUAUCAUUAACCUUUAUUGCCUUCCCACGAACACAAGCUUGUUCGUGUUUGGUGUUAUACCUUGAGUUCCUUGCUAUCCAACAUUGUUCUUCUUUACCUUGGAAUAUUACCACCUUUUAUGACAAGAUGUCGUGGGAAAUUUCACUACCUCUUGAGAACUCUUAAUACAAGUGAUACUUCUCACCAUCACCAUUCUUUCUUGGUCCCCGUGUUGAUUCCAACAAGUGAACGGUGUUGUUUGGAUUCUGCCCUUCUAGCAACCCUAUUGCUUUGAAGUUAAUGGUCGGUCGUUCGUUCUUAGACUAUUGAUUAUUGAAUCACCAUUCUGACAUUGGUCGUGCAACCCAACCCAUAUUUUGGGUGCACCUUUCAACAAAUGUUUAAUUGUGUAUGUUUUCCUCGAGCAUACCUCCUUAUGUCAUCUGAUCUAAGAAAUGUUAUCUCCUUAUUCACAUAGUUGCGGAAAUCCAUCCUUUUGGAAAUCUCGAGGAAUUGACGCUGAGUCCAUCAGCCACCUCCUCGUCCUCUUAUUGGUUAAAUGAUGAACUCUUGUUUUGGAACUUGCUUCCAUAGUUCAUUUCCAAGGAUCUUACAUUAUCAUCUAGUCAAUGUGUGUUACACCUUUUCUUCUCAGGUAUCAUAAGUCUGAGGUAUCCUGACACCAACCGGAUCUGAAUCUCGGUCAGAUAUGAUGGUUGGGACAUAUCUCCAAGAGUUGUAACAUUGAUCUCUACGUGACCCGGUAACAUGAUGUCAUGCCUAGCACCCCCCCCCCCCGGCUGGAGGACCUAUCAUUAUGAUUUAUUUNNNNNNNNNNCAUUUCCCCGAGAAUCUUACAAUGUCAUCUCGUCAAUUUGCGUUGCACCUUUUCUUCUCAGGUAUCCUAAGUCUGAGGUAUCCUCACACCAACCGGAUCUGAAUCUCGGUCAGAUAUGAUGGUUGGGACAUAUCUCCAAGAGAUGUAACAUUGAUCUCUACGUGACCCGGUAACAUGAUGUCAUGCCUAGCACCCCCCCCCCCCGGCUGGAGGACCUAUCAUUAUGAUUUCUUUUGCAAGAUAACCAUUCUUCCUGGAGGAAGUUGUAAGACUUAUCCUACAAGUUGUUCCUAAUGGAUCCUUCCUAUAUCCAAAGUCUGACCUUUGCUUGAAGACCAUGUCAAUGCUAUCUCGAAGCAUGUCUCUGGUACUCCGGUUUUCAACAAGACCAUUUGAAGCCCAAUGCUAAAUGUUUCUUGCUCAAUUAUCCAAACACCGUUGUAUGGGUAAUGUCAUGAAAUUUCUCUCCCCUUACCUACAGGGUUUUCUACCUUAUCUUCUGUCGUGGAUAUCUUGCUCUGCUUGUCGUUGGAAAGGAUAUACCCCCUGAAAUAGGUGUGGAUACACAUUUUCCUUUCCAUUGUUUUGAUUAAACCUGACAUCACUUUCCUUUCCAAUUGUUUUGUUUAACCUUUCUAUGAUCUAUAUGACAUAAGCAGUAAUAUCUCCCUGCUUAUGUAAACACCGUGGUGUACAACUCGAUCAGUAAGACCCUGUUACUAUUGUUGAUGACAUUUCGGUAACCACCGAUGGACGAGAACUUUGCCUACUGGUCCGCCUCGUUCAACGAGCAGGAAAAUGGUUCUCUUCGUCCCUCGCCCUUGGUAUCGACAUGGUUGCCAACAUAACAGAUAGGCUACCCUCUGGCAUGCCUCGCUAUUGUGACCGUGCAAGAUGUCAGCCCCCCCUUCCUACCUUUAACCCACAUGGUGGGCCCAUAACCCACAGUUCCACAGGAUCGAAACCUGACUCUCCUGUACCACCUGUUGGCAAAGUUAUUCCUCGUGCUUGACUUUGUAUGUAAUUCACGGGCCACUUGCCUGUUGAUCUAUUCUGGUAUCGAACACAAUACUUAUUCCCGUUGCUCAGAACCCCUUUCGCACUCUGCUUCAGGCAAUGAACGAUUGCCUAUCCGCUUGAAACUUCUUAUUGCACCGUCUUACUUUGCUCUCGAUAUGUGUAAUUUGUUCAACUCGAGAGAUACUCAUAUGUUUAUUCCUGGGAUACCCCCAGAUGAAUUUCCCUUAUAACAUCCUAUCAUUGUAGAGCUGCCCCUUACCUAUUCGUAAGUACGAUGGAGCUCCCUGAAGAAAGGACGACAACUUCCUCAUGAUGCUUUGGAAUAAAUAAUUGGAGGCAUCAACGAAAGGGAUUAACUUCUUCAAGAAGAUCCAUUAGAAUAACCAGAACUCCCCCCCCCCUUACUCCCCUCUUAAAUCUCGGGAUGAGAUUUCUUGUAGUGGAUGAGAAUUGUGAUGCCCGGGUAUUUAAGCUACAGUGAGCCUCUGCUAAUGAUGCCACGUCACCUCAUUUACUGUUGCUAAUCUCGCGACGGUUCGAAACUUUUUAAAUUAAAAAUUUAAAUAUUGUCAAACAUCAAAAAUUUUCAAACAUCAAAACAAAAAUGUUCGGUUAGUGCCAAAUAUUACAUAGGUAAUUAUAAUAAAGAAAACACAAAUUUAUAAAAUACUUAUGUGCC
RNAcentral lists this long non-coding RNA (8298 nucleotides) under Triticum aestivum (bread wheat). RNAcentral's name for it is "long non-coding RNA (TAES_LNC020534)". The record is from RNAcentral. Lineage: Eukaryota; Viridiplantae; Streptophyta; Magnoliopsida; Poales; Poaceae.